Molecule: ribosomal RNA, 465 nt
Filed under: Vreelandella stevensii
Lineage: Bacteria; Pseudomonadati; Pseudomonadota; Gammaproteobacteria; Oceanospirillales; Halomonadaceae
Description: partial 16S ribosomal RNA
Rfam family: Bacterial small subunit ribosomal RNA
Source: RNAcentral
CCUACGGGGGGCAGCAGUGGGGAAUAUUGGACAAUGGGCGAAAGCCUGAUCCAGCCAUGCCGCGUGUGUGAAGAAGGCCUUCGGGUUGUAAAGCACUUUCAGUGGGGAAGAAAGCCUUGGGGCUAAUACCCUCGAGGAAGGACAUCACCCACAGAAGAAGCACCGGCUAACUCCGUGCCAGCAGCCGCGGUAAUACGGAGGGUGCGAGCGUUAAUCGGAAUUACUGGGCGUAAAGCGCGCGUAGGCGGUCUGAUAAGCCGGUUGUGAAAGCCCCGGGCUCAACCUGGGAACGGCAUCCGGAACUGUCAGGCUAGAGUGCAGGAGAGGAAGGUAGAAUUCCCGGUGUAGCGGUGAAAUGCGUAGAGAUCGGGAGGAAUACCAGUGGCGAAGGCGGCCUUCUGGACUGACACUGACGCUGAGGUGCGAAAGCGUGGGUAGCAAACAGGAUUACAUACCCGAGUAGUC